This 83-nucleotide transfer RNA is filed under the name Xiphophorus maculatus (southern platyfish). It matches the Rfam family "tRNA". Rfam says of the family: Transfer RNA (tRNA) molecules are approximately 80 nucleotides in length. Their secondary structure includes four short double-helical elements and three loops (D, anti-codon, and T loops). Further hydrogen bonds mediate the characteristic L-shaped molecular structure. tRNAs have two regions of fundamental functional importance: the anti-codon, which is responsible for specific mRNA codon recognition, and the 3' end, to which the tRNAs corresponding amino acid is attached (by aminoacyl-tRNA synthetases). tRNAs cope with the degeneracy of the genetic code in two manners: having more than one tRNA (with a specific anti-codon) for a particular amino acid; and 'wobble' base-pairing, i.e. permitting non-standard base-pairing at the 3rd anti-codon position. The record is from Rfam by way of RNAcentral. Lineage: Eukaryota; Metazoa; Chordata; Actinopteri; Cyprinodontiformes; Poeciliidae.
ACCAGGAUGGCCGAGUGGUUAAGGCGUUGGACUUAAGCUCCAAUGGACAGAUGUCCUUGUGGGUUUGAUCCCCACUCCUGCGG